Molecule: long non-coding RNA, 335 nt
Filed under: Phoenix dactylifera (date palm)
Lineage: Eukaryota; Viridiplantae; Streptophyta; Magnoliopsida; Arecales; Arecaceae
Description: long non-coding RNA (PDAC_LNC009877)
Source: RNAcentral
UGGGAGUUGUCGGUAGACGGAGCAUGCAUAAGGUCAGUAGGAGAUUAGUCUUAAACCGACUUGUAGGAGUAAUCCGACUUUGGCCAAAAUAAGGUCCUGAUUUUAAUCGGGAUUUCUCUGGCAAUACGUAGAUAAAUAUAACGAGGCAAGCAUCUAGUGGGAUGUACCUUUUGCAUUUUCAGAAUUGUGCCCCUCGUAGCGGAGUGGGUUGCCUUAUUUCCUCGCCGACUUUCGGAGUCAUUCUUUGACUUUCGGAGAGCUCGGGCUUCUUAUGAACCCGAUGGCGCCCGCCGAGGUUGAGGGGGUUUGGGGAUGCUCCAUCAAUCUGCGACACU